UUCUCGAGUCAGGCCAGCCGUGUCAGCAUGCAGUGUGCUCAAAAGCAUGUAAUAAAUUGAAAAUAAUAUAUUGGUACUUAGAUGUAUAGUAAUG
Long non-coding RNA from Etheostoma cragini (Arkansas darter), 94 nucleotides. RefSeq lists it as uncharacterized. Lineage: Eukaryota; Metazoa; Chordata; Actinopteri; Perciformes; Percidae. The record is from RefSeq and is a predicted model, not a curated record. The transcript is spliced from 3 exons.